Molecule: ribosomal RNA, 397 nt
Filed under: Escherichia coli
Lineage: Bacteria; Pseudomonadati; Pseudomonadota; Gammaproteobacteria; Enterobacterales; Enterobacteriaceae
Also listed under: 1 other name
Description: bacterial SSU rRNA
Rfam family: Bacterial small subunit ribosomal RNA
Source: RNAcentral
AAAUUGAAGAGUUUGAUCAUGGCUCAGAUUGAACGCUGGCGGCAGGCCUAACACAUGCAAGUCGAACGGUAACAGGAAGCAGCUUGCUGCUUCGCUGACGAGUGGCGGACGGGUGAGUAAUGUCUGGGAAACUGCCUGAUGGAGGGGGAUAACUACUGGAAACGGUAGCUAAUACCGCAUAAUGUCGCAAGACCAAAGAGGGGGACCUUCGGGCCUCUUGCCAUCGGAUGUGCCCAGAUGGGAUUAGCUUGUUGGUGGGGUAACGGCUCACCAAGGCGACGAUCCCUAGCUGGUCUGAGAGGAUGACCAGCCACACUGGAACUGAGACACGGUCCAGACUCCUACGGGAGGCAGCAGUGGGGAAUAUUGCACAAUGGGCGCAAGCCUGAUGCAGCCA